This is a non-coding RNA of Girardinichthys multiradiatus, 576 nucleotides long. Lineage: Eukaryota; Metazoa; Chordata; Actinopteri; Cyprinodontiformes; Goodeidae. The record is from the annotation of a RefSeq genome assembly.
AUGUCACCAAAGUUCAUUAAUGAUGCUGACCUUUCUCCUCCCUCAGUAGGUCCAGUCCUCCCAACCCUGAUGCUGCUUUCCCUCUCCUUUGAGGAGGAGCAAGAUGGGAAGAGGUUGUUGUGUUCAGAGUCAGAGAGCCGUGUCUCUCUACAGUCAGAGGUUUUUGUACGACGACUCAAUCAGUUUGUAUCACUGUGGUACACGUUCGGUGGAGGAACCAGACUGGAUGUUGGAAGUGAUACUCGUCCCACCCUGACAGUGCUGCCCCCCUCCAGUGAAGAGCUGCAGCAGGGGAAGGCCACCCUCAUGUGUCUGGCCAACAAGGGCUUCCCUUCAGACUGGAGUUUGUCCUGGAAGGUGGACGGCAGCAGCAGCAGCAGCAGCAGCAGCAGCAGCUGGGAGCAGAGCAGGAGCCCCGGGUUGCUGCAGAAGGACGGCCUCUACAGCUGGAGCAGCACCCUGAGGCUCCCUGCAGACCAGUGGAGGAAGGUGGGCUCUGUGACCUGUGAGGCCACCCAGGGCUCCCAGACUGCAGUCACAGAGUCCCUGAGGAGAGACCAGUGUUCCCAGUCCUGA